UACGUAGGGGGCAAGCGUUAUCCGGAUUUACUGGGUGUAAAGGGAGCGUAGGCGGCGAUGCAAGUCAGAAGUGAAAGCCCGGGGCUCAACUCCGGGACUGCUUUUGAAACUGUAUGGCUAGAUUGCAGGAGAGGCAAGUGGAAUUCCUAGUGUAGCGGUGAAAUGCGUAGAUACUAGGAGGAACACCAGUGGCGAAGGCGGCUUGCUGGACUGUAAAUGACGCUGAGGCUCGAAAGCGUGGGGAGCAAACAGG
This 253-nucleotide ribosomal RNA is filed under the name uncultured bacterium. Its description in RNAcentral is "partial 16S ribosomal RNA". It matches the Rfam family "Bacterial small subunit ribosomal RNA", at positions 524 to 776 of the family's 1533-position model. The record is from RNAcentral.